CAGCAGCCGCGGGAAUACGGAGGAUCCAAGCGUUAUCCGGAAUCAUUGGGUUUAAAGGGUCCGUAGGCGGUCUUGUAAGUCAGUGGUGAAAGCCCAACGCUCAACGGUGGAACGGCCAUUGAUACUGCAGGACUUGAAUUAUUGGGAAGUAACUAGAAUAUGUAGUGUAGCGGUGAAAUGCUUAGAGAUUACAUGGAAUACCAAUUGCGAAGGCAGGUUACUACCAAUUGAUUGACGCUGAUGGACGAAAGCGUGGGUAGCGAACAGGAUUAGAUACCCGGGUAGUCCCUGUCUCUUAUAU
Molecule: ribosomal RNA, 301 nt
Filed under: uncultured bacterium
Lineage: Bacteria
Description: partial 16S ribosomal RNA
Rfam family: Bacterial small subunit ribosomal RNA
Source: RNAcentral